ACUAACUAGGAUUCCCUGAGUAACGGCGAGUGAAACGGGAAAAGCCCAGCGUGUAAUCUCUCAGGUUCUACCUGUAGCGAAGUGUCACGUAUAGGCGCGUCUGUCUGGUUUUCGUUGAGGUCCGAAGUUCGUUCGAACGCGACUUCCCGUAGUGGGUGCUAGGCCCGUACGGAUCUCGACUUGGCCAGUUGGGCGUGUCUUGGAGUAGAGUUGCUUGGAAGUGCAGCUCAAAGUGGGUGGUAUACCACAUCUAAGGCUAAAUAUGACCAGGAUUUCGAUAGCGAACAAGUACCGUGAGGGAAAGUUGCAAAGAACUUUGAAGAGAGAGUUCAAGAGAAUGUGAAACCACGUGGGACUAAGCGGAUAGAGUUGACGAAACUGGCAGUGUUCAGUGUUCGUGAUCGGGCUUCGGCUCGUGAUCGUGCACGCAUUCAUUGUCGGUACGUGCUGGAACGUCUGGCGAGCCCUUCUGAUGUACGUAGAGUCGCCCAAGCUUCGGCCUGGUAGUGUUCUGCGUUCGGAAGUUGAUGUGCUUGCUAGACGUAGCAUUCACCGUGCCUCUGCGCGUUCGGUUGUUGGUUAGCGCUCUGCUCGGUGGUCGGACAUGUCUGGCUGCCUUGUACGUGUGUUGAUCAGCGGCUGCUCGCCUAUGGUGUAAUCCCGGUAUGUGAAAGUCGACCACCUAUCCGA
RNAcentral lists this ribosomal RNA (690 nucleotides) under Adranes coecus. RNAcentral describes it as "eukaryotic LSU rRNA". It matches the Rfam family "Eukaryotic large subunit ribosomal RNA", at positions 64 to 647 of the family's 3401-position model. Lineage: Eukaryota; Metazoa; Arthropoda; Insecta; Coleoptera; Staphylinidae. The record is from RNAcentral.